Molecule: long non-coding RNA, 427 nt
Filed under: Androctonus crassicauda
Lineage: Eukaryota; Metazoa; Arthropoda; Arachnida; Scorpiones; Buthidae
Source: RNAcentral
UGACAAUCAUGAUCAGCCAAUUGAUUCCAAAUGCCAUAAUAAAUGAAAUAUAUGAGCAAAUGAUAUUUCUCAUAUAUUGCAAACUUAUUCAUAAAACCUAUAAAUCCAUAGGAUCUGUGCCUAACUUGUUGAAACCAGCAUUCUUUCAACUUCCAGUUGAACCCACUAUAGAUGUUGACCAGUCUGUGUUAGGCUCUAAAAGUGACUGCCACUGAAAAUGUAUCCCCUGUAUGAUUUUUGCAUCUUAAUUCAUACUAAUAUAAUCUAUAAACUAAUAAACUAAUUAAAUUUUUGUUAUUACUAGUAAGGAUGAUGCUGACUGCUUUAUAACAUAAGAGUUGCCAUAUAAACUGUAUUAUACAGUGGUACCUUGACUUACGAGUUUAAUUCGUUCCGUGACAGAGCUCGUAACUCGAAUCAAUUUUCC